This 491-nucleotide ribosomal RNA is filed under the name uncultured bacterium. Its description in RNAcentral is "partial 16S ribosomal RNA". It matches the Rfam family "Bacterial small subunit ribosomal RNA", at positions 29 to 507 of the family's 1533-position model. The record is from RNAcentral.
AGUGAACGCUGGCGGUAGGCCUAACACAUGCAAGUCGAACGGCAGCACAGUAAGAGCUUGCUCUUACGGGUGGCGAGUGGCGGACGGGUGAGGAAUACAUCGGAAUCUACUUUUUCGUGGGGGAUAACGUAGGGAAACUUACGCUAAUACCGCAUACGACCUACGGGUGAAAGCAGGGGAUCUUCGGACCUUGCGCGAUUGAAUGAGCCGAUGUCGGAUUAGCUAGUUGGCGGGGUAAAGGCCCACCAAGGCGACGAUCCGUAGCUGGUCUGAGAGGAUGAUCGGCCACACUGGAACUGAGACACGGUCCAGACUCCUACGGGAGGCAGCAGUGGGGAAUAUUGGACAAUGGGCGCAAGCCUGAUCCAGCCAUACCGGGUGGGUGAAGAAGGCCUUCGGGUUGUAAAGCCCUUUUGUUGGGAAAGAAAAGCAGCAGGUUAAAACCCCGCUGUUCUGACGGUACCAAAAGAAUAGCACCGGCUAACUUCGUG